ACGCUGGCGGCAUGCCUAACACAUGCAAGUCGAACGUGAUCCAGGCUUCGGUCUGGUGAAAGUGGCAGACGGGUGAGUAACGCGUGGGAACCUGCCCUAUGGUAGGGAAUAACCGCGGGAAACUGCGGCUAAUACCCUAUGAGUCCUUCGGGAGAAAGAUUUAUCGCCAUAGGAGGGGCCCGCGUCGGAUUAGGUAGUUGGUGGGGUAACGGCCUACCAAGCCUUCGAUCCGUAGCUGGUCUGAGAGGAUGAUCAGCCACACUGGGACUGAGAUACGGCCCAGACUCCUACGGGAGGCAGCAGUGGGGAAUAUUGGACAAUGGGGGCAACCCUGAUCCCGCAAUGCCGCGUGGGUGAUGAAGGCCUUCGGGUUGUAAAGCCCUUUCGGCGGGGAAGAUGAUGACGGUACCCGCAGAAGAAGCCCCGGCUAACUUCGUGCCAGCAGCCGCGGUAAUACGAAGGGGGCUAGCGUUGUUCGGAAUUACUGGGCGUAAAGGGCGCGUANGCUGUGCUGUAAGUCAGGCGUGAAAGGCCCGGGCUCAACCUGGGAAUGGCGCUUGAUACUGCGGCGCUGGAAUGCANGAGAGGAUGGCGGAAUUCCCAGUGUAGAGGUGAAAUUCG
Molecule: ribosomal RNA, 621 nt
Filed under: uncultured bacterium
Lineage: Bacteria
Description: bacterial SSU rRNA
Rfam family: Bacterial small subunit ribosomal RNA
Source: RNAcentral